Long non-coding RNA from Culex quinquefasciatus (southern house mosquito), 346 nucleotides. RefSeq lists it as uncharacterized. The record is from RefSeq and is a predicted model, not a curated record. The transcript is spliced from 3 exons. Lineage: Eukaryota; Metazoa; Arthropoda; Insecta; Diptera; Culicidae.
CCGGUAUCAGACGAAGCGAGUGUAUAUUCACGACUCACGUUUCGUGGAAUUUUAUAGCAAAUGGGAUCUGUCACACUGAACGUUGGUGAGCCCGUCUCGGGUGCCGCCAUAUUCCGGGGACUCGGAACUUCGGAGGUUUCCUGGGUAUGAGAGUUUCGGGUCUCGUUCUUUCUGCCAACGGAACGGCUGGUGAUAAGAAGUGCGCGACGCGACUAGUGACUUUAACCUUUUGCCUUUGCCUUUUACCUUAAUAGUGUUUCGUAAGUGAAUUCUUGGAUUUUUGCGUCCGCUUUCUUAAAUACAGUUCACUUUAACAUACAAUAAGCAGCGUCCAAUAAGACGCUUU